AGUAAAGUCAGCUAAAAUAAGCUCUUGGGCCCAUACCCCAAAAACGUUGGUCAACACCAUCCUUUACUA
Molecule: transfer RNA, 69 nt
Filed under: Bipes tridactylus
Lineage: Eukaryota; Metazoa; Chordata; Lepidosauria; Squamata; Bipedidae
Description: tRNA-Met
Source: RNAcentral